Molecule: non-coding RNA, 210 nt
Organism: Pelobates cultripes (western spadefoot toad)
Lineage: Eukaryota; Metazoa; Chordata; Amphibia; Anura; Pelobatidae
Source: the annotation of a GenBank genome assembly
UGUAACGGCACCCCCAGGCAUAAAAGGGGUGAACCGCCGUUUAGUAGAUCUUCCCUUCCAGAGACACAGGCACAGCUACUGCAGAACACCAAUCCGCCGAACAGGAAACCAUAUGAAUGCUGUAAACAGCCGAAUAGGAAAAACCAUACGAAUAGGUUUACACUCCUAGCAGUCAAACUGGAACAGCAUACAAUAAAUCCCCCCAAGAAC